Molecule: ribosomal RNA, 497 nt
Filed under: uncultured bacterium
Lineage: Bacteria
Description: partial 16S ribosomal RNA
Rfam family: Bacterial small subunit ribosomal RNA
Source: RNAcentral
GAUGAACGCUGGCGGCGUGCCUAAUACAUGCAAGUCGAGCGAACAGACGAGGAGCUUGCUCCUCUGACGUUAGCGGCGGACGGGUGAGUAACACGUGGAUAACCUACCUAUAAGACUGGGAUAACUUCGGGAAACCGGAGCUAAUACCGGAUAAUAUAUUGAACCGCAUGGUUCAAUAGUGAAAGACGGUUUUGCUGUCACUUAUAGAUGGAUCCGCGCCGCAUUAGCUAGUUGGUAAGGUAACGGCCUACCAAGGCAACGAUGCGUAGCCGACCUGAGAGGGUGAUCGGCCACACUGGAACUGAGACACGGUCCAGACUCCUACGGGAGGCAGCAGUAGGGAAUCUUCCGCAAUGGGCGGAAGCCUGACGGAGCAACGCCGCGUGAGUGAUGAAGGUCUUCGGAUCGUAAAACUCUGUUAUUAGGGAAGAACAAAUGUGUAAGUAACUAUGCACGUCUUGACGGUACCUAAUCAGAAAGCCACGGCUAACUACGUG